Schistosoma haematobium is the source of this 45-nucleotide non-coding RNA. The record is from Rfam. Lineage: Eukaryota; Metazoa; Platyhelminthes; Trematoda; Strigeidida; Schistosomatidae.
AUCCAGCUGACGAGUCCCAAGUAGGACGAAACACGAGUCCUGGAU